Molecule: long non-coding RNA, 1035 nt
Organism: Psammomys obesus (fat sand rat)
Lineage: Eukaryota; Metazoa; Chordata; Mammalia; Rodentia; Muridae
Exons: 3
Source: RefSeq, a predicted model, not a curated record
CGCGGAGGGCGGAGCCGGGGAAGCCGAAGGGAAGCCAUACUGGAGAUGCAGCCCGCCUUUCACACUUAAGCUCGAGGCCUGGGCAGGGACCGCACACCGAAACGAAGAGAAAGUGGGCUCCUGAGCAAACUGCCUGAACACCGAGGCUACUGGACGUUGGCCGUACAGGGCCUUGCUUUGAUUUUCUUUUGUUCGAAACGGGGGCGGGGGUCAGGCGGGCUUGGAACUCCCUCUGGAGCCCAGCAUUUGGUACCGUUGCGCUCCAAGUCUCCCGAGUGACUACCGGCCGUAUGCCCCGUGCCCACCUCCAGGACUUGCUUGUGUUUAAACAAGGCCACCCAUAACCCGUGAUGGCCCAGUGGCUCGGGUGAGCAGCAGUUGUCCCCGGCCCCACCGGAGAGGCGAAGGCCAGGAUGACGUGCUGGCGGAGGCUGGCCACGGCGGACGCCUGCCUCUUGUUGGCCAGGGUGGCUGAGUGCUCCCGGAGUCCCAGCAUGGACGCGCUUCCUGUCUCUCAGCACCCCAGGCCCCGUGCUGCCUGGGGCUCAGCCCCACACCGCUCCCAGCCUUGACCCGGAAUCAUGAAUCAACACCAACCUGUUCUCUUCAUGACUUGAAAAGAACAAGGGGAGGAUAGGAGAAGCACGGAAGUCAUAUCUGUCCUUCAGGAGAGGGACGGAGAGAGAAGGUACUGGAGAUAAACCUGGUUUUGGAAUGACACCGGAUUUCUACUGGGUGAGGUGGCACCCGCCUGUGAUCCCGGCGCUUUGGAGGUGGAGGCAAGUGGAUCUCUGAAUUUGAGGCCAACCUGGUCUACAAAGCAAGUUCCAGGCUACACAGAGAAGCCUUGUCUCUGUGACAAACAACAGAGAGAGACGUCAGCACAGAGGUACUGACAAUGGUGAAGGGUUAGAACAGUAGCUAUCCCAAGUCUGGGCCUGCUCUCCACCUCUUCAAGGAGCGUUUGACCACCUCCCCUGAGCUAGGCCUGAGCUAGUAGCUUGCUCUUGCAAAAUAAAACUAAAUACAAUUUAA